Molecule: unclassified non-coding RNA, 313 nt
Filed under: Hevea brasiliensis (rubber tree)
Lineage: Eukaryota; Viridiplantae; Streptophyta; Magnoliopsida; Malpighiales; Euphorbiaceae
Source: RNAcentral
GUUGGCAUCUCCCCUGACAGGGACGGGAACAGCCUUCGGGCUUACCUGUUACCAACACAUACGGUUAAGGCUACCCGCCUCUCAGGUGGAUCUCUAACCCAAUUUUUUUUGUUCUUUCAAUACAAUGUCGUGUCAUAUCAUGAUGACAUCUUUUGAGGCUUGGGAGGCUGUUUGGUACGGCAAGCAAUGAAAUUGAGCUUCAAGUUGCCAGAUCAUCAUUUAAGGAGAUUGCCAAGUAGUCUCUCUUAAUUGGAUAUCCAGGAUAUCAUCAGAGAUGAUAAGCUUUAUUUUUCAGCCCUUGAUCGGUUUUCCU